UCCGGUUGAUCCCGCCGGACCUGACUGCUAUCGGAUUGAUACUAAGCCAUGCGAGUCUUUGUAGCAAUACAAGGCGGACUGCUCAGUAACACGUAGUCAAUCUAACCUAUGGACGGGGAUAACCUCGGGAAACUGAGAAUAAUACCCGAUAGGUCAUUAUGCCUGGAAUGGUUUAUGAUCUAAAUGAUUCGUCGCCAUAGGAUGGGACUGCGUCCUAUCAGUUUGUUGGUGAGGUAAUGGCCCACCAAGACUAUUACAGGUACGGGCUCUGAGAGGAGAAGCCCGGAGAUGGGUACUGAGACACGGACCCAGGCCCUAUGGGGCGCAGCAGGCGAGAAAACUUUGCAAUGUGCGAAAGCACGACAAGGUUAAUCCGAGUGAUUUCUGCUAAAGGAAUCUUUUGUCAGUCCUAAAAACACUGAUGAAUAAGGGGUGGGCAAGUUCUGGUGUCAGCCGCCGCGGUAAAACCAGCACCUCAAGUGGUCAGGAUGAUUAUUGGGCCUAAAGCAUCCGUAGCCGGCUGUAUUAGUUUUCGGUUAAAUCCAUAUGCUCAACAUAUGGGCUGCCGGGAAUACUGUACAGCUAGGGAGUGGGAGAGGUAGACGGUACUCGGUAGGAAGGGGUAAAAUCCUUUGAUCUAUUGAUGACCACCUGUGGUGAAGGCGGUCUACCAGAACACGUCCGACGGUGAGGGAUGAAAGCUGGGGGAGCAAACCGGAUUAGAUACCCGGGUAGUCCCAGCUGUAAACAAUGCAAACUCAGUGAUGCACUGGCUUGUGGCCAGUGCAGUGCUGCAGGGAAGCCGUUAAGUUUGCCGCCUGGGAAGUACGUACGCAAGUAUGAAACUUAAAGGAAUUGGCGGGGGAGUACCACAAGGGGUGAAGCCUGCGGUUCAAUUGGAUUCAACGCCGGGAA
Molecule: ribosomal RNA, 915 nt
Filed under: uncultured archaeon
Lineage: Archaea
Description: bacterial SSU rRNA
Rfam family: Archaeal small subunit ribosomal RNA
Source: RNAcentral